UCCAGAAAUGGACCAGGCAGCAUAUCAGACCAAGUAGAAUCUCGGCUAGAGGUUUCUGUUUUGGAUGCCACGUGGACCAAUAGUAUCUUUUUCUCGCAGGUCAGACCAAAUCUUUCCUCCCCUUGUAACAUUAUAAUCUUGGAUUAAACAGAAUUACCCAUCGUUUUACUUACUUUUAAUGAACUCCUUUUCACUGGAUUUUGAUUAGUUCGAGUGCAUGACAAAAUGGUUCAUUUUUUAGAAUAAGAAAUGUAUUUUCGUUUAAAAAAGUUGAAUUAAUUUAUUGAUAAACAUUAAAAAAAAUUAAGUAGAAUAGAUGGGAUAACUAGUUAUAAGAUAAGUUAUAGAUUGAAACACAGCUUGUUUGUUUAUGCAAUGCAAUCAGAACCAUAAGAGUGUGAAAAUGGAUUCCUGCCAUAUAUCCCAACCUCUCUCUCUCUCUCUCUCUCUUUCUGUGAUCAGCCGACGUCUGAUCUGUGAUUUGAUUUUCACCGACCACUUGUUGGCGGGCCCCUACAAUUUGAUGAUUUGUUUGGGCGAUAAAACGCAACGCAUGUUUCUUGCUCAAUCCAAAUACUAACAAAACAUUCUCUGAUGAACACACUCUUUUUAAGAACAGGGCUCGGAGCAUGAUUAUUUCCCCAAAGUUAUUAACUAAGUAGUACUGUGAUUAGUUAACAAAUUCAGAAACUAUUUCUUUUCCUAAUUGAUUUCUGUUGAAUUUGAUCUGAUGGGUAUUGCUGUACACGCAGCACCUGUCCUUUGGUAAAAGCAGAUCAUAGAGGAAGAACAGGGGUUAGUUUUGGUCCAUCUAAUAACGUAAACUGAAGUGGAGAAAGGGACUCGUGUAGCUUCUCAUUUAAUUCUUUGUUUUGGAUGUGGAGCAAGUUUGAGACCCCACACGUCUCCCUCCUAGUAUAUGGUGUUAGAUUCUUCCCCUCUCAGAGUCCACCUCCUUGCUCUUCGGCCAAACAGGUAUGCCCUCUUAAUCAUUUUAGUUGAUGCUUUAUUUGUUUCCACUAUGUGCUUGUGCCCUCCUUCCAGCCAGUAGGAAUACAAAACAUUUUGAUCUCGUAAUUCAGAUUAUUAACGUAAUAUAAUUUAGAUGGUUUGUUUGGACCUACUCCGAAUUUCCCUUUUAAGAUUAGUCCCCUUCGGUUAUAUUUGACCGAAUAUAUAACUAUGUCAUGUGUCAUGAACGACACAUGGAACAAGGUAGAAACGAAAUGGAAUUUUAUGGACAUCACUCAAAAUUCUUUUUUUUUUUUUUAAUUUUUACAUAAAAUAAUAACAAAAACAAUAAAAUUGAAGAAAAUAGAAAAUUAUUGCACGUGGUGUAAUAAAAUUGGGAUUGAUAGGAUAUUUGUUUUUGGCAGUUUGUGUGUCUUAUCUCGUUCAAAUCUGGCUGGCUUCUCCAGCUGCUGCUCUUAUCUCUGUAAACUCAUGACAUGGGUUUGUUUCUCUUUUGAAUUAAGAACUAAGUUUUCAAAAAAAAAAAUAUAUAUUCGAGAGUCCAUCUGUGAAGAAGGUCGAAGAUGCAGAUUAAAAACUCCAUGAAUCGUUUUAUGUUUAUCGUUGACAAAUAAUUUAACUAAUUGAUUCUUUACUUCCUUUUCCAAAAGUUAAUUGCAUUUUAUUAGUGGCUUAGAAUGUCUUCACCCAUAUAUAUACAUAUAUAUAUAUGUAUGUAUCUAGUAUUUUCAAGAAGAAGAUGUCCCGUUAUCAUCAAAAUUAAUAGAAUAAACAAUAAAAAUCUCACCUGCUUGCCCCACACUUCUACACCUCCAAUUAUGGUCACAUAUUAAUGAGUCUAAAAUUCAAUCCUAACCAUAGUAUCGAAAUCCAUCUGCCACAUUAAUUAUAUACUUACAUAUAUGUGUGUGUAUGUAUAAGCUAGUUUUGUCCUCUAAUAAAAGGUAGAAGGAUACGAUGGAGUUUUGUGGAGAGAUCCUCUUGUUGCCACAGUUAUAGCCAACCAAACAUUCACCAAAUCUUUUCCCCAAAGCUAAUUUGGUUACCGUGUAAACAAAUAGAACCUGUAUAGAUUCACAUUUUCUCUUUGAUAUGAAAGUAAUUUGUCAACAAAAUGCCUGCUUUCAGGUGAGCGGAUCACGAAACUCAUGCCAACACUGAUUUCAAACUGCCCUUUUCCAACAGUUUCUCACGCCUCUCCGAUCAUUUCUCUUCACAGAAACUUGAGCCUACCAGAAUAUUAAACAAGUAACCAGCUGACAACGAUUUGCACCCGAAAAAGCUUUGAUAGGUUUGUGGUGUCAAUGAAAUUAAGUAUUAUCAUAAUUUCUCACCGUUCAAAUUAACUAUCACCAAAAUAUUACUUUAUGCUCCUAGAAGCAUAGAAGAAAUACUAUUUUAUGUUGGUAAGCAAUCAUAUAUUCUGAUACAAUUUAGGUGAAACUGAAAUUUUCUUUUAAAAAAAUUAUCAUCAUACCUUUUAGAAAUAUACACAAACAGUAUGUCCGAGUCCUAUUCUUUUUAGCUUAAAGUUUUAGUUAAAAUUUUCUUAGCCUUAGGUCCGAUUUGGAAGCCAGCACACCCACUUAUUCCCUGUAAGACCUGAAUAACAUCUCGUCCUUCUUCGGUGAAUUUUAGCCUGAAUAUGAAAAUAAUGUCAAAAGGAAGCAGAUGACAUCGCCAGUCUAAAAUAUAAAAGUUCUUUCUUUGUUAGAUUGGUCAAAACUAAGAACACAUUGAAGUACUGAAGACAAAUAUAAAAAAACCACCAUGACUUCUUGUACUCCAUGUGAGCUAGCUUAACCAGAAGGGUUUAUUUCUUAAAAAGCUACAGAUUUUUAUAUAACUGC
Molecule: long non-coding RNA, 2822 nt
Filed under: Carica papaya (papaya)
Lineage: Eukaryota; Viridiplantae; Streptophyta; Magnoliopsida; Brassicales; Caricaceae
Description: long non-coding RNA (CPAP_LNC005094)
Source: RNAcentral